Molecule: long non-coding RNA, 3517 nt
Organism: Oncorhynchus nerka (sockeye salmon)
Lineage: Eukaryota; Metazoa; Chordata; Actinopteri; Salmoniformes; Salmonidae
Exons: 2
Source: RefSeq, a predicted model, not a curated record
UGUCUCCUUACAGCUCAGGAGAGGAGAGAGAGGGGUCUCCUUACAGCUUAGGGGAGGAGAGAGAGGGGUCUCCUUACAGCUUAGGCGAGGAGAGAGGAGAGAGAGGGGUCUCCUUACAGCUUAGAGGAGGAGAGAGAGAGGUCUCCUUACAGCUUAGGGGAGGAGAGAGAGGGGUCUCCUUACAGCUUAGGGGAGGAGAGAGAGGGGUCUCCUUACAGCUUAGGGGAGGAGAGAGCGGGAGGUGAGGAAGAGGUGCUUAGUGUAUUUGUUUACUUUCAUCUCCUGUUUUCUCAGCACCUAUUACUGUCAGCACGGUGGUUACUGAGGUUACAGUAGAGAAGGAAACAUGAGGACCGUGUGACAAUGUAAUGGCGUGCUACUAAUAAACCGUCGCCAUGCACGCACACAGUACUACACCGCGUGUGUGUGUGCGUUGUUCUCCUUUCCAGCAGGUCACCCCUGUCAUGUCCCCAUUCCCCCACAUGGGCAUUGCAGUUGAGGGUAGUUGUUGGUUGAGUCCAGGAAGGUGAAAUAGAUUAAAGCACCUCACCUCCUUCACUAAAACAAAUUGAAUUAGGUGUUGAAAUGUCAGAGCUUGUUGUGAAGGACAGGCUGCUUCAGCUGUGAGAGUUCGACGAGGACAAGGUCUUAUUGAUGAGAUAGGGGUUUAAAAUGAAGCGUUACUGAAUGAUUGACAUUUGAUACUCCCCUGGCUGAUUUCUGUCCAUUGUAUUGUUAUUUAAACGACACAGAAAUGUAAUAUAGUUUAAACAUGACAUUUACAAGGUUCCCGAAACAGGUUAUAUAAGGGAAACCAGAGAAAGUCAACUUUAGCUUGGGAAACGAUCCUUGGAAACAGUUUCUGAGCUCCAUUUUUCUGAGCCUUGUACUGUACUGUAGUGCUAGCGGAAGAGCAGUUGACUUCGAGGCUUCCCCGUCGCUCUUUUAUUUGGCCACCACUUUAAAGACCAUCGAUGGUUUCCUGCUGGAAAGGAGGAACUACUGUUGUCAUUAGUGUUUAGAAGACAGAUCUUUACAUUUCUACGGAACAAAAAAUUUAAACGCAACAUGCAACAAUUUCAAAGAUUUUUCUGAAUUGCAGUUCAUAUGAGGAAAUCGGUUAAUUGAAAUCAAUUCAUCAGGCCGUUUUAUCUAUGGAUUUCACGACUGAAUACUGAUAUGCAUCUGUUGGUCGCAGAUACCUUUAAAAAAAAAAAAAAUGGGCCUCAGGAAUUUGUCACGUUAUUUUUGAGCAUUCAAAUUGCCAUUGAUAAAAAAGCUAUUGUGUUUGUUGUCUGUAGCUUAUGCCUGCCUAUAUCAUAACCCCACCAAAACCAUGGGGCACUCUGUUCACAACGUUGACAUCAGCAAACCACUCGCCCACACAACGCCAUACACAUGAUGUGCGGUUGGUUGGUUGGACGUACUGACGACAAAUUCUCUAAAACGACAUAGGAGGUGGGUUAUUGUAGAGAAAUGAACAUUCAAUUAUCUGGCAACAGCUCUGGUGGACAUUCCUGCAGUCCGCAUGACAAUUGCACACUCCCUCAACUUGAGACAUCUGUGGCAUUGUGUUCUGCACAUUUUAGUGGCCUUUUAUUGUCCCCAGCACAAGGUGCACCUGAUCAUGCUGUUUAAUCACCUUCUUGAUAUGCCACACCUGUCAGGUGGAUGGAUUAUCUUGGCAAAGGAGAAAUGCUCACUAACAGGGAUGUAAACUAAUUUGCACACAACAUUUGAGGCGAAAUAACCUUUUUAUGUUUUCGUAUCGAAACAACCCCUGGUUGGUGUGUCUGAAAAUCAUGCCGUGUGUUUUGUAACACUCUCUGCGUCGUUGUGUUGUGGUCCCAUGCAGACAACUACAUCUCAAGCCAUACGAUCUGUCUCGGGACUCUGAGAUGAAUUGGUGUAUGACAAUGCUAUGUCACGUUGCAGCAGCCUUUGUUCAAUAUUUCCUGUAGGGAAGGAAAUGUCCUGCUCAAAGCAGAGGAAGGUGAACAUUUUAUAAGUGGCUUCAAUGUCUUGCUUCACUCAUUUUCUUAAUUGUUCAAAUGCAAAUGAAUGUUUGUGUCUUUUCUCGGCUCCACGCUGAAUUAUUUUUGACAUUUGAUGGAUUGUUGAAGCUAUGUCUGUAUGAAUUCUCUUGCCUCGUUUUGAAGUGUGCUUAUGGAAUCCUAGCGAGCAGGGGUAUUAUGUUCUACAGGACUAAGUUUGGCCACGCUUGUGGUUUCUGUCUGCGUUCUGUGUGCUUUACAUCGGUUCGUGUGUUUAUUUGCAUUUGUAUAAUUGUUGCUACAUGUGAUUUUAACAUUCGGUUCACAUGCUUUAUUUGGGUUCAUUUGCUUUAUAUUUCUUCAUGUGUUCUACAAUGUGUUAAUGUGCUUCAUUUGGGUUCAUUUACUUUAUUUUGCUUCAUUUACUUUAUAUUCAGUUCACAUUGGGUUCAUACACUAUUUACAUUGGGUCCAUGUGCUUUAUUUGUUAAUUUAGCUUUAUAUUCCUUCAUGUGCUUUUACAUGGGUCUAUAUGCUUUUUAAAGUGGUUGGUUACCAAACUGGAACCGAACUAGACUGACAUUAGAGACCAAAUGCUUCUUUCAUCCAAACUAGUGUCAUUUAAAAAAAAAAAAAGAUUGUUCUCCUUACAUGGGUAAGUCGGAGCAGUAGGUCAUGGGUAUAAAAACAACCUCGAUAGGACUAUGACCGUUGACAACAUGUCAGAUGUUUAUUAUGGCCUGACCCAUUACUGGCCGUAGGGUAAAGGAGCUUUCUGCUUUUUCUUUUCCCCUGCUGAGAAUCGACAGGUGGCUGGACUUGAGAAAAUUAUCCCACAGUCAUCAUUUGUAUGUGUCCAAAGGGAUUUGCUUGUCUAAAAAAAAACUUAAAAAACUUCUGAGUUAUCUCACUCCCGAAGUGCACGUGUGGAUUUAACUCCUUACUCAAAACAUACUGCAGCCUGGUACGUAAGUGAUAAACAACGCAGGACAAUGUAUGUGGACGUCCUUUCCCUACCUCUUGAGACUGUAACAAUUUGCCGCACCAUAUUGAUAGAAGCACUUUAAACAAUACCUUUUUUUAAGCGAUACCUUUAACUCAAAAACUCACGUUAAAGCAAGAGGAAUAAGUACGUGGGUUUUUGGUCACACAGGCUUUGCAUGGCAAGUGUAACAGGGGAUGUAUGUGUGGCACAAUAGUUUUACUGUUCUCUUCUUUUCUGUUUUAAUGUCAACUAAUUGAUCUCCAGUGAUUUGCAAAUGUGUACUUUGCAAUAAUACAAAUAUUUUAUUUUCUAUACAAGUGAAUUCAAAUAUAUACGUUGAUAUGUUAUAUAAAUAUAUAAUGUUACUGUACAAACAUCAAACUGUAUGAGAAGUGACAACUGUGCACUGUGUUGUCGGUUAGCCUAGCUUAAGUAUUACAUCCUUAUAUUACGAAAACAAACUAAUGCAGUAAUGUUGAAAUGAAACAAUAUACCAAAUUAAAGUUGUAAUUUAUAAAUAAAUGUUUCUCUGAUACAA